Molecule: long non-coding RNA, 204 nt
Organism: Plutella xylostella (diamondback moth)
Lineage: Eukaryota; Metazoa; Arthropoda; Insecta; Lepidoptera; Plutellidae
Source: RefSeq, a predicted model, not a curated record
UGUUUUCUCUCCAGACUCCCUUCAUCAUGAUGAGCAAGGUGUUCCUCCUCUUCGCCGUGAUCGCGCUCCUGGCGCUGACGCAGACCGCCGAUGCCUGCUACAGCUACGGCUCCGAGUGCAACCUGAUCACCGGCGGGUGCUGUGAAGGCAUGAAGUGUGUCUGGGCGAUGUUCACCAAGGCGAUCUGUUUGGACAAGAGCUACU